CGCGCAGGCGGUUUCGUUAGUCGGACGUGAAAGCUCCUGGCUUAACUAGGAGAGGUCGUUCGAUACUGCGGGACUUGAGGUUGGGAGAGGGGUGUGGAAUUCCAGGUGUAGUGGUGGAAUGCGUAGAUAUCUGGAGGAACACCAGUGGCGAAGGCGGCACCCUGGCCCACACCUGACGCUGAGGCGCGAAAGCGUGGGGAGCGAACA
Molecule: ribosomal RNA, 207 nt
Filed under: uncultured bacterium
Lineage: Bacteria
Description: partial 16S ribosomal RNA
Rfam family: Bacterial small subunit ribosomal RNA
Source: RNAcentral